RNAcentral lists this ribosomal RNA (497 nucleotides) under uncultured bacterium. RNAcentral's name for it is "partial 16S ribosomal RNA". It matches the Rfam family "Bacterial small subunit ribosomal RNA", at positions 28 to 507 of the family's 1533-position model. The record is from RNAcentral.
GAUGAACGCUGGCGGCGUGCCUAAUACAUGCAAGUCGAGCGAACGGACGAGAAGCUUGCUUCUCUGAUGUUAGCGGCGGACGGGUGAGUAACACGUGGAUAACCUACCUAUAAGACUGGGAUAACUUCGGGAAACCGGAGCUAAUACCGGAUAAUAUUUUGAACCGCAUGGUUCAAAAGUGAAAGACGGUCUUGCUGUCACUUAUAGAUGGAUCCGCGCUGCAUUAGCUAGUUGGUAAGGUAACGGCUUACCAAGGCAACGAUGCAUAGCCGACCUGAGAGGGUGAUCGGCCAAACUGGAACUGAGACACGGUCCAGACUCCUACGGGAGGCAGCAGUAGGGAAUCUUCCGCAAUGGGCGAAAGCCUGACGGAGCAACGCCGCGUGAGUGAUGAAGGUCUUCGGAUCGUAAAACUCUGUUAUUAGGGAAGAACAUAUGUGUAAGUAACUGUGCACAUCUUGACGGUAACUAAUCAGAAAGCCACGGCUAACUACGUG